GACGAACGCUGGCGGCGUGCUUAACACAUGCAAGUCGAACGGAGUGGCGAACGGGUUAGUAACACGUGGGUGACCUCCCUUGCUCUUCGGGAUAUUCCAGGGGAACUGUGUCUACUACCGGUCAGUGUGGGAUGGGCACGCGGCCUAUCAGCUUGUUGGUGGGGUAAUGGCCUACCAAGGCGGCGACGGGUAGCCGGCCUGAGAGUGGGGACGGCCACAUUGGGACUGAGACACGGCCCAGACUCCUACGGGAGGCAGCAGUGGGGAAUAUUGCACAAUGGGGGGAAGCCUGAUGCAGCAACGCCGCGUGGGGGAUGACGGCCUUCGGGUUGUAAACUCCUUUCAGCAACGACGCGGUAGAGGGAGAAGAAGCACCGGCUAACUACGUGCCAGCAGCCGCGGUAAUUC
Molecule: ribosomal RNA, 408 nt
Filed under: uncultured bacterium
Lineage: Bacteria
Description: partial 16S ribosomal RNA
Rfam family: Bacterial small subunit ribosomal RNA
Source: RNAcentral